CCUACGGGUGGCAGCAGUGAGGAAUAUUGGUCAAUGGGCGCGAGCCUGAACCAGCCAAGUAGCGUGAAGGAUGACUGCCCUACGGGUUGUAAACUUCUUUUAUAAAGGAAUAAAGUGAGGCACGUGUGCCGUUUUGUAUGUACUUUAUGAAUAAGGAUCGGCUAACUCCGUGCCAGCAGCCGCGGUAAUACGGAGGAUCCGAGCGUUAUCCGGAUUUAGUGGGUUGAAAGGGAGCGUAGAUGGGUUGUUAAGUCAGUUUUGAAAGUUUGCGGCUCAACCGUAAAAUUGCAAUUGAUACGGGCAGUCUUGUGUACAGUUGCGGUAGGCGGAAUUCGUGUUGUAGCGG
Molecule: ribosomal RNA, 346 nt
Filed under: uncultured bacterium
Lineage: Bacteria
Description: partial 16S ribosomal RNA
Rfam family: Bacterial small subunit ribosomal RNA
Source: RNAcentral